UACGUAGGUGACAAGCGUUGUCCGGAUUUACUGGCGUAAAGAGCGCGCAGGCGGUCGAUCAAGUCGAGUGUGAAAGCCCCCGGCUCAACUGGGGAGGGUCAUUCGAUACUGAUCGACUCGAAGGCAGGAGAGGGUAGUGGAAUUCCCGGUGUAGUGGUGAAAUGCGUAGAUAUCGGGAGGAACACCAGUGGCGAAGGCGACUACCUGGCCUGUUCUUGACGCUGAGGCGCGAAAGCUAGGGGAGCAAACGGG
RNAcentral lists this ribosomal RNA (252 nucleotides) under uncultured bacterium. RNAcentral describes it as "partial 16S ribosomal RNA". It matches the Rfam family "Bacterial small subunit ribosomal RNA", at positions 524 to 776 of the family's 1533-position model. The record is from RNAcentral.